Molecule: ribosomal RNA, 882 nt
Filed under: Cheilymenia crucipila
Lineage: Eukaryota; Fungi; Ascomycota; Pezizomycetes; Pezizales; Pyronemataceae
Description: eukaryotic LSU rRNA
Rfam family: Eukaryotic large subunit ribosomal RNA
Source: RNAcentral
CAACAGGGAUUGCCUUAGUAACUGCGAGUGAAGCGGCAAAAGCUCAAAUUUGAAAUCUGGCGUCUUCGGCGUCCGAGUUGUAAUUUGGAGGGGCAUCUUCGGAGUUGGCGCCGUCCUAAGUUCCUUGGAACAGGACGUCAUAGAGGGUGAGAAUCCCGUGCCUGGAUGGCUGUCCAUCUCCAUGUGAAGUGUCUCCGACGAGUCGAGUUGUUUGGGAAUGCAGCUCAAAAUGGGUGGUAAAUUUCAUCUAAAGCUAAAUAUUGGCGAGAGACCGAUAGCGCACAAGUAGAGUGAUCGAAAGAUGAAAAGCACUUUGAAAAGAGAGUUAAAAAGUACGUGAAAUUGUUGAAAGGGAAGCGCUUGAGACCAGACUCAAUCUUUGGUGAUCAGCUGUGCUUCUGUACAGUGCACUUGCCUUUGAUUGGGCCAGCAUCGGUUCUGACGGCGGGAUAAAAGGCGGAGGAAUGUGGCUCUCUUCGGGGAGUGUUAUAGCCUCUGUCACAAUGCCGCCAGUUGGGACCGAGGACCGCGCUUCGGCUAGGAUGCUGGCGUAAUGGUCUUAAGCGACCCGUCUUGAAACACGGACCAAGGAGUCUAACAUCUAUGCGAGUGUUCGGGUGGAAAACCCUUGCGCGUAAUGAAAGUGAACGGAGGUGGGAACCCCUCGGGGUGCACCAUCGACCGAUCCUGAUGUCUUCGGAAGGAUUUGAGUAAGAGCAUAGCUGUUGGGACCCGAAAGAUGGUGAACUAUGCCUGAAUAGGGUGAAGCCAGAGGAAACUCUGGUGGAGGCUCGCAGCGGUUCUGACGUGCAAAUCGAUCGUCAAAUUUGGGUAUAGGGGCGAAAGACUAAUCGAACCAUCUAGUAGCUGGUUCCUGCCGAA